This 497-nucleotide ribosomal RNA is filed under the name uncultured bacterium. RNAcentral's name for it is "partial 16S ribosomal RNA". It matches the Rfam family "Bacterial small subunit ribosomal RNA", at positions 28 to 507 of the family's 1533-position model. The record is from RNAcentral.
GAUGAACGCUGGCGGCGUGCCUAAUACAUGCAAGUCGAGCGAACAGACGAGGAGCUUGCUUCUCUGACGUUAGCGGCGGACGGGUGAGUAGCACGUGGAUAACCUACCUAUAAGACUGGGAUAACUUCGGGAAACCGGAGCUAAUACCGGAUAAUAUAUUGAACCGCAUGGUUCAAUAGUGAAAGACGGUUUUGCUGUCACUUAUAGAUGGAUCCGCGCCGCAUUAGCUAGUUGGUAAGGUAACGGCUUACCAAGGCAACGAUGCGUAGCCGACCUGAGAGGGUGAUCGGCCACACUGGAACUGAGACACGGUCCAGACUCCUACGGGAGGCAGCAGUAGGGAAUCUUCCGCAAUGGGCGAAAGCUUGACGGAGCAACGCCGCGUGAGUGAUGAAGGUCUUCGGAUCGUAAAGCUCUGUUAUUAGGGAAGAACAAAUGUGUAAGUAACUAUGCACGUCUUGACGGUACCUAAUCAGAAAGCCACGGCUAACUACGUG